This 231-nucleotide long non-coding RNA is filed under the name Lathyrus oleraceus (garden pea). Its description in RNAcentral is "Pisum sativum (pea) long non-coding RNA (PSAT_LNC003256)". Lineage: Eukaryota; Viridiplantae; Streptophyta; Magnoliopsida; Fabales; Fabaceae. The record is from RNAcentral.
GAAUUGACAUGUGAAAGUGAUCUCCUUUUUUACAACAUCAAGAAUUAAAGGAUUAUGGGGCUGCCUCACUACUUUUGUUUCAUCUUUAAGUGAGAUCCUAUGCAUACAUAUGGAUGAGCUAAUAUCACGAGUGCCAGCCAAGGUCCAUCCAAUUCCCUUCUUAUAUUUCUGAUUAAGUUGAAGCUUUGAUGAAUAAUAUGAAUCCUCGGGAAGUGGUUUAGGCUCUAAAGA